Molecule: microRNA precursor, 75 nt
Filed under: Haemonchus placei
Lineage: Eukaryota; Metazoa; Nematoda; Chromadorea; Rhabditida; Trichostrongylidae
Description: mir-5928 microRNA precursor family
Rfam family: mir-5928 microRNA precursor family
Source: Rfam by way of RNAcentral
GGCACAAACCGGUAGUAGAGUAAUUUAGUAGGGUUAGUCAAUUCUGCUAAUUUACCCUACUUCGAAUUUGGGCCC